This 484-nucleotide ribosomal RNA is filed under the name uncultured bacterium. RNAcentral's name for it is "partial 16S ribosomal RNA". It matches the Rfam family "Bacterial small subunit ribosomal RNA", at positions 30 to 507 of the family's 1533-position model. The record is from RNAcentral.
AUUGAACGCUGGCGGCAGGCCUAACACAUGCAAGUCGAGCGGAUGAAGGGAGCUUGCUCCUGGAUUCAGCUGCGGACGGGUGAGUAAUGCCUAGGAAUCUGCCUGGUAGUGGGGGAUAACGUCCGGAAACGGGCGCUAAUACCGCAUACGUCCUGAGGGAGAAAGUGGGGGAUCUUCGGACCUCACGCUAUCAGAUGAGCCUAGGUCGUAUUAGCUAGUUGGUGGGGUAAAGGCCUACCAAGGCGACGAUCCGUAACUGGUCUGAGAGGAUGAUCAGUCACACUGGAACUGAGACACGGUCCAGACUCCUACGGGAGGCAGCAGUGGGGAAUAUUGGACAAUGGGCGAAAGCCUGAUCCAGCCAUGCCGCGUGUGUGAAGAAGGUCUUCGGAUUGUAAAGCACUUUAAGUUGGGAGGAAGGGCAGUAAGUUAAUACCUUGCUGUUUUGACGUUACCAACAGAAUAAGCACCGGCUAACUUCGUG